RNAcentral lists this long non-coding RNA (684 nucleotides) under Homo sapiens (human). RNAcentral's name for it is "HSALNT0067296". The record is from RNAcentral. Lineage: Eukaryota; Metazoa; Chordata; Mammalia; Primates; Hominidae.
GAGGGGCUGGGGACGCAAGCUUUCCUGAGCUCCCACAGUUCUCUGCCCCUCUCCUGUUUCAUGGCGCAAGGGCCCCCUGGGGCUUGCGGUGGUUUUGCACCAAGCUGGUAUCUUGUUCUUCCCAACAGACGGAGGCCCAUUGAGGCUUCUGUGUCCUCCACGGGGACCAGCAUUGGCCUAAACCUGCAGACACCAUUGCAAAGGGAAUUCAGGCAAACCCGCUGGUGAAAAAUGAUUCCAGCGUGGGGACAGAGGCUGACAUUUCUUGCCUGGGUGAUUUAAUGUUGGGCCUCAAUUUUUCACUCCCCCCGUAAGAGUAUGACAUAGCCACAACCUUGCCAGGGCCUGAGGGAGGGUGGAUGGACUUAUCCAUCCCAUAGGUGUUGCUCGUGGCUGGGUGACUUGCUUCUGCCAACGAGAUUUUCACAGACACGGCACAAACAGAAGCCUGGAAUGUGUGGGCACUGCCAGGCCUGCCCUCUAAGGCUCUUGAUUUUCCCCACGAGAUGCACGUGCCCCAGGGAACGGCGGCUCUGGCUGUGGGAUGAGAGGCGUGUGGAGCAGGCAUGGUUCCCAUCCUUAGCCUGGAGUCAAGGUGGAGUGAUUUGAGUAGAUUUGGCCUCUAUUCUCAUGGAGCUUCCUUUCUAGAGGGGAAGGCAGAUGAUGGAUGGAUAAAUAUAAAUG